UGCAGUCGAGCGAAGCAGUUUUAAGGAAGUUUUCGGAUGGAAUUAAAAUUGACUGAGCGGCGGACGGGUGAGUAACGCGUGGGUAACCUGCCUCAUACAGGGGGAUAACAGUUGGAAACGACUGCUAAUACCGCAUAAGCGCACAGUGCUGCAUGGCACGGUGUGAAAAACUCCGGUGGUAUGAGAUGGACCCGCGUCUGAUUAGGUAGUUGGUGGGGUAACGGCCCACCAAGCCGACGAUCAGUAGCCGACCUGAGAGGGUGACCGGCCACAUUGGGACUGAGACACGGCCCAAACUCCUACGGGAGGCAGCAGUGGGGAAUAUUGGACAAUGGGGGAAACCCUGAUCCAGCGACGCCGCGUGACUGAAGAAGUAUUUCGGUAUGUAGAGGUCUAUCAGCAGGGAAGAAAAUGACGGUACCUGACUAAGAAGCCCCGGCUAACUACGUGCCAGCA
RNAcentral lists this ribosomal RNA (456 nucleotides) under uncultured bacterium. RNAcentral describes it as "bacterial SSU rRNA". It matches the Rfam family "Bacterial small subunit ribosomal RNA", at positions 56 to 513 of the family's 1533-position model. The record is from RNAcentral.